RNAcentral lists this long non-coding RNA (209 nucleotides) under Lathyrus oleraceus (garden pea). RNAcentral describes it as "Pisum sativum (pea) long non-coding RNA (PSAT_LNC033435)". Lineage: Eukaryota; Viridiplantae; Streptophyta; Magnoliopsida; Fabales; Fabaceae. The record is from RNAcentral.
UUUUUUUUUUUGAUUAAUGCCCCAGUUGGCUGUUCUGCUGAUUCUCGAGAUGCAGCUGAGUGAUCUUCUUUUCUUGCUCAAGAAGUCGGGAAAUCUCGUCAGGAAUCCCUUCAACAUCAUCUUCUUCCGCUUCGAAUACAGGGAAUUCAGAAUUGGGAGAUAGCGUUGGAUCAUUAUGUUCAAUGGGUUUAAGAAAUAACCUGCAUAAU